This 253-nucleotide ribosomal RNA is filed under the name uncultured prokaryote. Its description in RNAcentral is "partial 16S ribosomal RNA". It matches the Rfam family "Bacterial small subunit ribosomal RNA", at positions 525 to 777 of the family's 1533-position model. The record is from RNAcentral.
ACAGAGGGUGCAAGCGUUAAUCGGAAUUGCUGGGCGUAAAGCGCACGUAGGCGGCUUGGUAAGUUGGGUGUGAAAUCCCCGAGCUUAACUUGGGAAUUGCAUUCAAGACUGCCUUGCUAGAGUGUGGGAGAGGGAAGCGGAAUUCCAGGUGUAGCGGUGAAAUGCGUAGAUAUCUGGAGGAACACCGGUGGCGGAGGCGGCAUCCUGGACCGAGAUUGACGCUGAUGCGCGAAAGCCAGGGGAGCAAACGGGA